ACACGGCCCAGACUCCUACGGGAGGCAGCAGUGGGGAAUAUUGGACAAUGGGGGCAACCCUGAUCCAGCGACGCCGCGUGGAGGACGAGGGUCUUCGGAUUGUAAACUCCUUUUGGAGGGGAUGAAUGCCUGCGUGAAAAACGCAGGGUGACAGUACUCUCUGAAUAAGCCACGGCUAACUACGUGCCAGCAGCCGCGGUAAUACGUAGGUGGCAAGCGAUACUCGGAAUCACUAGGCGUAAAGCGCAGGUAGGCGGUUCGGUAAGUCUUUUGUGAAAGCUCCCGGCUCAACUGGGAGAGGUCAAAGGAAACUGCCGGGCUAGAGUGUGGUAGGGGAUACUGGAAUUCCUGGUGUAGCGGUGAAAUGCGUAGAUAUCAGGAGGAAUACCUAUGGCGAAAGCAGGUAUCUGGGCCAUCACUGACGCUGAGCUGCGAAAGCUAGGGGAGCAAACAGGAUUAGAUACCCUGGUAGUCCACGCCGUAAACGAUGAGUGCUAGACGUCGGGGAGCUUGCUCUUCGGUGUCGCCGCUAACGCAUUAAGCACUCCGCCUGGGGAGUACGGUCGCAAGAUUAAA
This 576-nucleotide ribosomal RNA is filed under the name uncultured soil bacterium. Its description in RNAcentral is "bacterial SSU rRNA". It matches the Rfam family "Bacterial small subunit ribosomal RNA", at positions 324 to 898 of the family's 1533-position model. The record is from RNAcentral.